This 449-nucleotide ribosomal RNA is filed under the name uncultured bacterium. RNAcentral's name for it is "partial 16S ribosomal RNA". It matches the Rfam family "Bacterial small subunit ribosomal RNA", at positions 29 to 523 of the family's 1533-position model. The record is from RNAcentral.
AACGAACGCUGGCGGCAGGCUUAACACAUGCAGGCCGAACGAGAUCUUCGGAUCUAGUGGCAGACGGGUGAGGAACACGUGGGAACAUCCCUUUCAGUUCGGAAUAACGUUGGGAAACUAACGCUAAUACCGGAUACGUCCUUCGGGAGAAAGAUUUAUCGCUGAAAGAUUGGCCCGCGUCUGAUUAGCUAGUUGGUGAGGUAAUAGCUCACCAAGGCUACGAUCAGUAGCUGAUCUGAGAGGAUGAUCAGCCACAUUGGGACUGAGACACGGCCCAAACUCGUACGGGAGGCAGCAGUGGGGAAUAUUGGACAAUGGGCGCAAGCCUGAUCCAGCCAUGCCGCGUGAGUGAUGACGGCCUUCGGGUUGUAAAGCCCUUUUGUCCGGGAAGAUAAUGACUGUACCGGAAGAAUAAGCCCCGGCAAACUUCGUGCCAGCCGCCGCCGUAA